AACUGCAGGCAAACUUCGUCCAGACUCCUACGGGAGCCGAACUCCGUCUCUAAACUUCAACUGCAGGUAAACUUCGUCCGGACUCCUACGGGAGCCGGAUUCCAUCCCCAACUUCAACUGCAGGAAGACUCCAUCCGGACUCCUAUGGGAGCCAGACUCCGUCUCCAACUUCAACUGCAGGAAGACCUCGUCCGGACUCCUACGGGAGCCGAACUUCAUCCCCGACUUCAAC
RNAcentral lists this long non-coding RNA (232 nucleotides) under Elaeis guineensis (African oil palm). RNAcentral's name for it is "long non-coding RNA (EGUI_LNC049985)". The record is from RNAcentral. Lineage: Eukaryota; Viridiplantae; Streptophyta; Magnoliopsida; Arecales; Arecaceae.